This 301-nucleotide ribosomal RNA is filed under the name uncultured bacterium. Its description in RNAcentral is "partial 16S ribosomal RNA". It matches the Rfam family "Bacterial small subunit ribosomal RNA", at positions 509 to 807 of the family's 1533-position model. The record is from RNAcentral.
CAGUAGCCGCGGGAAUACAGAGGGUGCGAGCGUUAAUCGGAUUUACUGGGCGUAAAGCGUGCGUAGGCGGCUUUUUAAGUCGGAUGUGAAAUCCCUGAGCUUAACUUAGGAAUUGCAUUCGAUACUGGGAAGCUAGAGUAUGGUAGAGGAUGGUAGAAUUCCAGGUGUAGCGGUGAAAUGCGUAGAGAUCUGGAGGAAUACCGAUGGCGAAGGCAGCCAUCUGGCCUAAUACUGACGCUGAGGUACGAAAGCAUGGGGAGCAAACAGGAUUAGAUACCCCAGUAGUCCCUGUCUCUUAUAC